GUCCUUUUGAAUUUUAUUUAAGGUCUAGUCUGCCCACUGAAUUUAUAUUUUAAAUGGCCGCAGUAUUUUGACUGUGCAAAGGUAGCAUAAUCAUUAGUUUUUUAAUUAAAAGCUUGUAUGAAAGGCUGGACGAGGUAAAAUCUGUCUCUAUUUAAAUUAUAGUAGAAUUUAACUUUUAAGUUAAAAGGCUUAAAUAUUAUUAAAAGACGAGAAGACCCUAUAGAGCUUUAUAAUUUAUUAAUUAAAAUUAAUUUAGAAAUAUUUAUGUUUUAGUUAAUUAAAUUAUUUUAUUGGGGUAAUAGAAAGAUUGAAUUAAUUCUUUUUUAUAAUAAACAUUAAUUUAUGAAUAUUAAUGAUCCAAUUUUAUUGAUUAUAAGAUUAAGUUACCUUAGGGAUAACAGCGUAAUUUUUUUAAAGAGUUCAUAUCGAUAAAAAAGUUUGCGACCUCGAUGUYGGAUUAAAGAUUAUUUUAGGUGCAGAAGCUUAAUAAAUUUGGUCUGUUCGACCAUUGAAUCUUUAC
This 520-nucleotide ribosomal RNA is filed under the name Carabus intricatus intricatus. RNAcentral describes it as "partial 16S ribosomal RNA". It matches the Rfam family "Bacterial large subunit ribosomal RNA", at positions 1819 to 2599 of the family's 2925-position model. The record is from RNAcentral. Lineage: Eukaryota; Metazoa; Arthropoda; Insecta; Coleoptera; Carabidae.